This is a long non-coding RNA of Cyprinus carpio (common carp), 588 nucleotides long. RefSeq lists it as uncharacterized. The record is from RefSeq and is a predicted model, not a curated record. The transcript has 3 exons. NCBI's taxonomy places the organism in Eukaryota, Metazoa, Chordata, Actinopteri, Cypriniformes, Cyprinidae.
AGCCACCCACACUUACACUCACGCAGUGCAUGUCUUUCACACAGGAAAUCAGCAGUCUGCAAACUGCCUGUGGCCCCAUUCAGAUCCAUCAAGACCAACUUGUUUGACUGAUAUCCCUUUAACAAGAUGAUUAAUGAGGAUUGGCUGUGCAGCUCAUUAAAGCUAUGUGAUCUAGUCACCACUCGUUCAGAAUCUGCUCACUCUGAUGACUCUGCGCAGGUAGUAAUCAACAGUGAUUCAUACCCACAACCUGCUUAUAACCUAUCAUCAAUCCAACACACUUUGGAAACAUACAGCCAUUUGCUGGAUGUAACAUUAGAACAGAACUUAUAGCCCAUUCAACAGUUUGCCACAGAUGACUGCCAAAACUAUUAUAGAUUCAGCCAUCAGGAUCAGAGACCCAAGAGAAUCCAUCAAGCUGAGAGGGGACGACGUUGAAAUGCUGGCUGAAGAGUUAACUUUACAAGUCUGUUGCAAAGCAUUGGAAGAGAUGGAGAGGCGUCAUUACUCUGAUGAUCCAUCAUCCAAAAGUGUGGAUGAUAAAGAGGGGACUUAUGGAAAUGCAUCGGCCCUGUGCUCCUCAGGGUA